This 414-nucleotide non-coding RNA is filed under the name Solanum lycopersicum (tomato). RNAcentral describes it as "Eukaryotic large subunit ribosomal RNA". It matches the Rfam family "Eukaryotic large subunit ribosomal RNA", at positions 2465 to 2988 of the family's 3401-position model. Lineage: Eukaryota; Viridiplantae; Streptophyta; Magnoliopsida; Solanales; Solanaceae. The record is from Rfam by way of RNAcentral.
AAAGGCCGUGACAGUCAUGUGGGCUUAGUAGGCAUGCUGCGUGGGCGCUUGACGUCGAAAUUCAAAUCAGAAGUGGGGCAUUUCCCCUCUUUUUGGACCCAAGGCUAGCUUCGUGGGCUGAUCUGGGCGGAAGACAUUGUUAGGUGGGGACUUUGCCUGGGGCGUCACAUCUGUUAAAAGAUAACGCUGGUUCCUAAGAUGAGCUCCGUGAGAACAGAAAUCUCUUGUGGAACAGAAGGGUAAAAGCUCAUUUGAUUUUGAUUUCCAGUACGAAUACGAACUGUGAAAGAGUGGCCUAACGAUUCGAUGACGGCUCUUCCUACCAUUGUGAAGCAGAAUUCAACAAAUGUUGGAUUGUUCACCCACCAAUAGGGAACGUGAGCGGGGUUUAGACCGUCGUGAUACAGGUUAGUU